AUUUCAGGUCAUUUGGGUAAAUAUUUUUGAACUAAGGUUAUUUUUAUAAAUAUUAAUUUUUUGGGAUUAAAUGAGUAAAAUAGUCAAAUUUUUAUCAUUUUAAAGAAUUCAGGAUUUUUAUCAAAAUAUUAUAAAAAAAUAAAAAAAUACCAAAAUAUUAUAAACUUUUUUUUAUUUACCAAAAUAAUACAAAAAAAUAAAACAGAAAAAAAAAGCUGGGACGACGUGACAGCACACUGGUGGAGGGGAUGCCAUAGGCGGCACCAGUUGUGCCAGUGGCAGAGGCGGCACCGAUGGUGCCCCUGCCAUAGGCGGCACUGCCCCUAUAAUAGGGAUCAUUCGGCUGGUGGGUGGGGGGAAGAGAAGGAGAGGGAAAGGAGAAGAAAGAAAGAAAGAAAAAUAAAGAAAAGGAAAGGAGAUGAGAGGAAAGAAAGAAAAAGAAGGAAAGAAAAGGAAAGAAGAAGAAAAAAGAAAGAAAAAGAAGGAAAGAAAAUGAAAUGAGAAGAAAAAAGAAAGAAAGAAGAAGAAGAGGGAAGGAAGGAAAAAGAAAGAAAAAAAGGU
RNAcentral lists this long non-coding RNA (561 nucleotides) under Gossypium raimondii (Peruvian cotton). RNAcentral describes it as "long non-coding RNA (GRAI_LNC008427)". The record is from RNAcentral. Lineage: Eukaryota; Viridiplantae; Streptophyta; Magnoliopsida; Malvales; Malvaceae.